UACGUAGGGUGCAAGCGUUGUCCGGAAUUAUUGGGCGUAAAGAGCUCGUAGGCGGUUUGUUGCGUCGGCUGUGAAAUCCCGAGGCUCAACCUCGGGUCUGCAGUCGAUACGAGCAAACUAGAGUGUUGCAGGGGAGACUGGAAUUCCUGGUGUAGCGGUGAAAUGCGCAGAUAUCAGGAGGAACACCGGUGGCGAAGGCGGGUCUCUGGGCAACAACUGACGCUGAGGCGCGAAAGCUAGGGGAGCAAACAGG
RNAcentral lists this ribosomal RNA (253 nucleotides) under uncultured bacterium. RNAcentral describes it as "partial 16S ribosomal RNA". It matches the Rfam family "Bacterial small subunit ribosomal RNA", at positions 524 to 776 of the family's 1533-position model. The record is from RNAcentral.